UUCUCUUGUCCUUCAUUCCACCGGAGUCUGUCUCAUACCCAAUCAGAUUUCAGUGGAGUGAAGUUCAGGAGACA
Molecule: microRNA precursor, 74 nt
Filed under: Loxodonta africana (African savanna elephant)
Lineage: Eukaryota; Metazoa; Chordata; Mammalia; Proboscidea; Elephantidae
Description: mir-205 microRNA precursor family
Rfam family: mir-205 microRNA precursor family
Source: Rfam by way of RNAcentral